Molecule: unclassified non-coding RNA, 240 nt
Filed under: soil metagenome
Description: partial contains 5.8S ribosomal RNA, internal transcribed spacer 2, and large subunit ribosomal RNA
Source: RNAcentral
AACCAUUCUCACCUGCGGCUAGACCUGCGGAAGGAUCAUUACACAAUACAAUAUGAAGGCUGUCCGCAGCUGGAGUAUUUUAUUACCCUUGUCUUUUGCGCACUUGUUGUUUCCUGGGCGGGUUCGCUCGCCACCAGGACCACCAAAUAAACCUUUUUUAUGCAGUUGCAAUCAGCGUCAGUACAAACAAUGUAAAUCAUUUACAACUUUUAACAACGGAUCUCAGAUCGGAAGAGCACA